GGUUGAAAGCUAACUUUUAUAUUAUCAAGUUUCCCCAUUUCUGAGUAAUUCAAUUAUGAGAUUUCCACAUGCAAUUAAGGAAAUGCAAAACAAUACCUGUAAAACUAUUUCAAAAGAGAUUUAAUAUAUUGUGUCAGUUUGCUUUGCACCAGUUUGUCCAGGAUUUAAUGACAAGGUUGCACGACUUGCUCUAGCUUGAUCACAUCAAACGAAAUCAAAUAUUUUCUUAAAUUUUCCAAAAAUGCCAAAUUAAGCCUUAUGCCUUGAAGUAAAGGUAUUAUAUGUUGUAACAACAAUAUGAUGUGGUUCCGAGUGUACUAUCAUGCCCACUCAAUUUAAAGACUUUUACAACGGUGUACCUACCACACACCAGGUUUGGGUAAUAUGAACUAUUUUUAUGGACUGUAUGUUAAAUUGUAUCGUAUGAUUACAAUGCUAAUUAAGUCAUCUAAGUACUAAGUGAAUGGAUGGGAAAUUUUAUGAACCAAAGAAUCAGCAAGACCAAUCUUACUUCCGACUUCAUAAAAAACUACAAAAAUAUCGAGUAUGCUUAUACAUAACAAAAUCUACAGUAGAAGUCCAUACACUUUUGAAGAGAAUUACUUUAACUAACUGAUCCCACAAAUUUAAAUGAAUUAUGAGGUACCCAUUCUUAUUAUCUUGCCCUUUUAUGAAACCGUGUAAGAGUAGCAUACACUUUUUAACAGAUCUGC
Molecule: long non-coding RNA, 713 nt
Filed under: Mytilus galloprovincialis (Mediterranean mussel)
Lineage: Eukaryota; Metazoa; Mollusca; Bivalvia; Mytilida; Mytilidae
Source: RNAcentral